GACGAACGCUGGCGGCGUGCUUAACACAUGCAAGUCGAACGGAAAGGCCCUGCUUUUGUGGGGUGCUCGAGUGGCGAACGGGUGAGUAACACGUGAGUAACCUGCCCUUGACUUUGGGAUAACUUCAGGAAACUGGGGCUAAUACCGGAUAGGAGCUCCUGCUGCAUGGUGGGGGUUGGAAAGUUUCGGCGGUUGGGGAUGGACUCGCGGCUUAUCAGCUUGUUGGUGGGGUAGUGGCUUACCAAGGCUUUGACGGGUAGCCGGCCUGAGAGGGUGACCGGCCACAUUGGGACUGAGAGACGGCCCAGACUCCUACGUGAGGCAGCAGUGGGGAAUAUUGCACAAUGGGCGGAAGCCUGAUGCAGCAACGCCGCGUGCGGGAUGACGGCCUUCGGGUGGUAAACCGCUUUCGCCUGUGACGAAGCGUGAGUGACGGUAAUGGGUAAAGAAGCACCGGCUAACUACGUG
RNAcentral lists this ribosomal RNA (468 nucleotides) under uncultured bacterium. Its description in RNAcentral is "partial 16S ribosomal RNA". It matches the Rfam family "Bacterial small subunit ribosomal RNA", at positions 28 to 507 of the family's 1533-position model. The record is from RNAcentral.